CCGGUCGGAGGGCUCCUAGUGCGCCAGGUUGUGGGAAGUGAGGCUGGCGGUGGCGACAACCGAGGAGGAGGGGCGGGACGCCGUGGAGCACGGCGACCGGCUGAGCGUCAUGGAGGGCUCAGGGGAGCAGCCGGGCCCACAACCACAGCAUCCCGGAGACCACCGCAUCCGCGACGGCGACUUCGUGGUGCUGAAACGUGAAGAUGUGUUUAAAGCAGUACAAGUCCAGCGGAGAAAAAAAGUAACUUUCGAAAAACAGUGGUUCUACCUGGAUAACGUCAUUGGCCAUAGUUAUGGAACUGCAUUUGAAGUGACCAGUGGAGGAAGUCUACAGCCCAAGAAGAAGAGGGAAGAGCCUACUGCAGGAAAUAGUUCAGCAGUUAAUUGAAAAUAGUACAACAUUCCGAGACAAGACAGAAUUUGCCCAAGAUAAAUAUAUUAAAAAGAAGAAAAAAAAAUAUGAAGCCAUCAUUACUGUUGUGAAGCCAUCCACCCGUAUUCUUUCAAUUAUGUAUUAUGCAAGAGAACCUGGAAAAAUUAACCACAUGAGAUACGAUACACUAGCCCAGAUGUUGACGUUGGGAAAUAUCCGUGCUGGCAACAAAAUGAUUGUGAUGGAAACGUGUGCAGGCUUGGUGCUGGGUGCAAUGAUGGAACGAAUGGGAGGUUUUGGCUCCAUUAUUCAGCUAUACCCUGGAGGAGGACCUGUUCGGGCAGCAACAGCAUGUUUUGGAUUUCCCAAAUCUUUUCUCAGUGGUCUUUAUGAAUUCCCUCUCAA
RNAcentral lists this long non-coding RNA (778 nucleotides) under Homo sapiens (human). Its description in RNAcentral is "non-protein coding lnc-LRRN4-3:1". Lineage: Eukaryota; Metazoa; Chordata; Mammalia; Primates; Hominidae. The record is from RNAcentral.